RNAcentral lists this ribosomal RNA (468 nucleotides) under uncultured bacterium. RNAcentral describes it as "partial 16S ribosomal RNA". It matches the Rfam family "Bacterial small subunit ribosomal RNA", at positions 28 to 507 of the family's 1533-position model. The record is from RNAcentral.
GACGAACGCUGGCGGCGUGCUUAACACAUGCAAGUCGAACGGAAAGGCCCUGCUUUUGUGGGGUUCUCGAGUGGCGAACGGGUGAGUAACACGUGAGUAACCUGCCCUUGACUUUGGGAUAACUUCAGGAAACUGGGGCUAAUACCGGAUAGGAGCUCCUGCUGCAUGGUGGGGGUUGGAAAGUUUCGGCGGUUGGGGAUGGACUCGCGGCUUAUCAGCUUGUUGGUGGGGUAGUGGCUUACCAAGGGUUUGACGGGUAGCCGGCCUGAGAGGGUGAACGGCCACCUUGGGACUGAGAUACGGCGCAGACUCCUACGGGAGGCAGCAGUGGGGAAUAUUGCACAAUGGGCGGAAGCCUGAUGCAGCAACGCCGCGUGCGGGAUGACGGCCUUCGGGUUGUAAACCGCUUUCGCCUGUGACGAAGCGUGAGUGACGGUAAUGGGUAAAGAAGCACCGGCUAACUACGUG